AAUUAAUAAAAAUAAUUUAUUAGAAUAAAUUUAUAAUUUUUUUAAAAUUCUACUUAAACUUAAAUUUAAUACAAAAUUUAUUGUAUAUUUAAAUAUAUUUUAUAUAAAAUUUAUUAUAAUAUUUAAAUAUAAAUAAUAUGUAUUAAUAUAGUAAAUUAAUAAUUUUAUAAUAAAAUAAUAUAUUAUAAUAUAUAACAUAUUAUAUUUAUAUAAUUUAGUUUUAAUUCAAUUUAUAAUUUUACUUAACUUUGAAAUUAAGUAUCGUAAUAGCACUAUUCCACUAAAAUGGUGGAAUAGCAAAUUUUUUAUUAUUCCAGGAUAACUGGAAAUAGCAAGGUUUGACAAGAAUAAAAUAUUUCGGUAAAAAAUCACUAUGUUUGGCCUAAUAGCCUUCAGCGGCAAGUUCUAUAUAACAGUGAACCCUUUCUUCUUUUCCCACCCUCACAAGCCAAACUCCCCAAAACAUUCCCGCUUAGAGCUUCUACUCUCCUCUUCCCGUGCUACCAAUCCAUCAUCAUCAUGAGGUUCCACCCUUCCAACUUCUCCCAGGCGCCUCCCCCAUGGAACCCUUUCAGAGUCGAAAACGAUUCACCACUUUCGACGUAUGCCUUUGCUACUGCUUCUGCAGACGACGUUCUGCCCCGGCUGCCCUGCCUGCUACCUCCUCUACCUCCGCCAACCUCCCCCGUCUCCUACUGCUGCCGCAUUUUAGAAGGAUCAAGAAAAGUUUACGCACGAAAAAAAAUAAAUAACUAUGUCUGUUUUAUAAACUACAAGAAAAUAGAUAUUUUGUGGCAAAACUAAUGGCCACAAAAAUAAAGAAAUUCGCCACAAAAGGUCUUUUGUAGCCAUAUUAGUUUCGUCAUAGC
Molecule: long non-coding RNA, 869 nt
Filed under: Ananas comosus (pineapple)
Lineage: Eukaryota; Viridiplantae; Streptophyta; Magnoliopsida; Poales; Bromeliaceae
Description: long non-coding RNA (ACOM_LNC013307)
Source: RNAcentral